RNAcentral lists this ribosomal RNA (465 nucleotides) under uncultured bacterium. RNAcentral describes it as "partial 16S ribosomal RNA". It matches the Rfam family "Bacterial small subunit ribosomal RNA", at positions 28 to 506 of the family's 1533-position model. The record is from RNAcentral.
GACGAACGCUGGCGGCGCGCCUAACACAUGCAAGUCGAACGAGCGAGGGAGAGCUUGCUUUCUUGAGCGAGUGGCGAACGGGUGAGUAACGCGUGAGGAACCUGCCUCAAAGAGGGGGACAACAGUUGGAAACGACUGCUAAUACCGCAUAAGCCCACGACCCGGCAUCGGGUUGAGGGAAAAGGAGCAAUCCGCUUUGAGAUGGCCUCGCGUCCGAUUAGCUAGUUGGUGAGGUAACGGCCCACCAAGGCGACGAUCGGUAGCCGGACUGAGAGGUUGAACGGCCACAUUGGGACUGAGACACGGCCCAGACUCCUACGGGAGGCAGCAGUGGGGAAUAUUGCACAAUGGGGGAAACCCGGAUGCAGCGACGCCGCGUGGAGGAAGAAGGUCUUCGGAUUGUAAACUCCUGUUGUUGAGGAAGAUAAUGACGGUACUCAACAAGGAAGUGACGGCUAACUACGU